CUGGCUUGUGGCAGCCAAGCGUUCAUAGCGACGUUGCCUUUUGAUUCUUCGAUGUCGGCUCUUCCUAUCAUUGUGUCGCAGAAGUCACCAAGAGUAGGAUUGUUCACCCACUAACAGGGAACGUGAGCUGGGGUUUAGACCGUCGUGAGACAGGUUAGUUUUCCCCUACUGAUGAAUUUGUUGUCCCGACAGUAAUCCAACUUAGUACGAGAG
RNAcentral lists this ribosomal RNA (213 nucleotides) under Conticribra weissflogii. RNAcentral describes it as "partial Eukaryotic large subunit ribosomal RNA". It matches the Rfam family "Eukaryotic large subunit ribosomal RNA", at positions 2830 to 3040 of the family's 3401-position model. The record is from RNAcentral. Lineage: Eukaryota; Bacillariophyta; Thalassiosirophyceae; Thalassiosirales; Thalassiosiraceae.